RNAcentral lists this ribosomal RNA (253 nucleotides) under uncultured bacterium. Its description in RNAcentral is "partial 16S ribosomal RNA". It matches the Rfam family "Bacterial small subunit ribosomal RNA", at positions 524 to 776 of the family's 1533-position model. The record is from RNAcentral.
UACAGAGGUCUCAAGCGUUGUUCGGAUUCAUUGGGCGUAAAGGGUGCGUAGGCGGCGCGGUAAGUCGGGUGUGAAAUCUCGGAGCUUAACUCCGAAACUGCAUUCGAUACUGCCGUGCUUGAGGACUGGAGAGGAGACUGGAAUUUACGGUGUAGCGGUGAAAUGCGUAGAUAUCGUAAGGAAGACCAGUGACGAAGGCGGGUCUCUGGACAGUUCCUGACGCUGAGGCACGAAGGCCAGGGGAGCAAACGGG